Molecule: non-coding RNA, 45 nt
Organism: Schistosoma rodhaini
Lineage: Eukaryota; Metazoa; Platyhelminthes; Trematoda; Strigeidida; Schistosomatidae
Source: Rfam
AUUCAGAUGAUGAGUCUCGAAUAAGACAAAAUGUGCAUCAUGAAU